RNAcentral lists this ribosomal RNA (497 nucleotides) under uncultured bacterium. RNAcentral describes it as "partial 16S ribosomal RNA". It matches the Rfam family "Bacterial small subunit ribosomal RNA", at positions 28 to 507 of the family's 1533-position model. The record is from RNAcentral.
GAUGAACGCUGGCGGCGUGCCUAAUACAUGCAAGUCGAGCGAACGGACGAGAAGCUUGCUUCUCUGAUGUUAGCGGCGGACGUGUGAGUAACACGUGGAUAACCUACCUAUUAGACUGGGAUAACUUCGGGAAGCCGGUGCUAAUACCGGAUAAUAUUUUUAACCGCAUUGUUCAAAAUUGAAAGACGGUCUUUCUUUCACUUAUAGAUGUUUCCGCGCUUCAUUAGCUAGUUGGUAAGGUAACGGCUUACCAAGGCAACGAUGCAUAGCCGACGUGAGAGGGUGAUCGGCCACACUGGAAGUGAGACACGGACCAGACUCCUACGGGAGGCAGCAGUAGGGAAUCUUCCGCAAUGGGCGAAAGCCUGACGGAGAAACGCCGCGUGAGUGAUGAAGGUCUUCGGAUCGUAAAACUAUGUUAUUAGGGAAGAACAUAUGUGUAAGUAAAUGUGCACAAAGUGACGGUAACUAAUCAGAAAGCAACGGCUAACUACGUG